This 466-nucleotide ribosomal RNA is filed under the name uncultured bacterium. RNAcentral's name for it is "partial 16S ribosomal RNA". It matches the Rfam family "Bacterial small subunit ribosomal RNA", at positions 28 to 505 of the family's 1533-position model. The record is from RNAcentral.
GACGAACGCUGGCGGCGUGCUUAACACAUGCAAGUCGAACGGAAAGGCCCUGCUUUUGUGGGGUGCUCGAGUGGCGAACGGGUGAGUAACACGUGAGUAACCUGCCCUUGACUUUGGGAUAACUUCAGGAAACUGGGGCUAAUACCGGAUAGGAGCUCCUGCUGCAUGGUGGGGGUUGGAAAGUUUCGGCGGUUGGGGAUGGACUCGCGGCUUAUCAGCUUGUUGGUGGGGUAGUGGCUUACCAAGGCUUUGACGGGUAGCCGGCCUGAGAGGGUGACCGGCCACAUUGGGACUGAGAUACGGCCCAGACUCCUACGGGAGGCAGCAGUGGGGAAUAUUGCACAAAGGGCGGAAGCCUGAUGCAGCAACGCCGCGUGCGGGAUGACGGCCUUCGGGUUGUAAACCGCUUUCGCCUGUGACGAAGCGUGAGUGACGGUAAUGGGUAAAGAAGCACCGGCUAACUACG